This 3371-nucleotide long non-coding RNA is filed under the name Panax ginseng (ginseng). RNAcentral's name for it is "long non-coding RNA (PGIN_LNC003360)". The record is from RNAcentral. Lineage: Eukaryota; Viridiplantae; Streptophyta; Magnoliopsida; Apiales; Araliaceae.
UUGGUCUCCCAAGGACAAUAGUACCUACAAUAUUUAUUAAGUAACAUAAAAAAACUGAAAGAACAAGAAGUAGAAUUGAUCCACCAUAAUGUUAGUCAUCAUCACCGUCUAUUAUCAUCCUUAGCUUCCUUUUAGGAACAACAUCUAUUAUCCCUAAAAUGGGAUAAUUAAUUCAUCAGUUAACUUAUCAUGCAGGUCCUGAUAUUGCAAUUGAUCAGCAUUGUCCGCAGUUGGAAAAGCUACAUUCUGCAUCGCCGUCUUAGUGCAAAGAAACAUCAUCAUUUUCUACAUCUACUAUCUUAGUGGGUUGUUCAUGUUUAUGCCUGAAAGAAAGUGUCCAAUCAUAAAAAAGAAGGCAUAAAACUUAAUAUAAUAGACACGAAUACAUAUUAUUUAGUAUCUCACAUUCAUGGUAGAUCAAUAUAUUUCUUGGACUGUAAAAUUUCAAGGAAAUUUAAGUUUUCUAUGAGAUCCAUGAAACCAAAAAUCUAAAUUAUUUAACUUUGCAAGUUCAUGAAAACUAUAACACUGAAUUACCUAGACAUCGCACCACUUAUCAUUCAAUCUAUAAUUCCAAAUCUCUUGUAAUCUCUAUACAAGUUCUAGGCAAAAAUACUUAAUAAAGUUGAUAACCUAUUGAACAAUUGAUAACCUGUUGAACAAUUGUAACAACAUAAAGUCAAAAGAUCAUAAGAAAAGCAGAUUAUACAAACUUUGACUCCAAUCACAUUCCUCCUGAUACAAGUCAUAAAGAAAUAAAUAUUUCCCUUUUAACUAACAAUUUGGCCUUAAAAAUAAAAUGAAAGGAGAAAGCAUUAACGACUGCAGAAGGCAACCAGUUCUAAGUGAUAUUUAUCGAGUCUUAUAAGUUACUCAAUACAGAGCAAGAUCAAAGCAUUUAGAGGGAUCUUUGUUCUGAAGUUUAAUUUACUUAGAAUCCAUGUUUUAGAUAUUUUUGAGUAUUUGAGUACCAUCAAACCGAGGUAUUUAUUUUUUAAAAAAAAAUCUUCAUGCACAUUCUAUAUAUAUCGAUAAAUAGAAUAGAAAUACCUUCUCCAUUUAAAAAUAUUUAUAUCAAAGUAAAAACACAAUCAAAAAGUCUUUAUUAGAUUUAAUUUAUACCAAAAAUAUUCGGCUUCUACUACUUCUAAACAUGUGUAUAUUACUAUCUAGUCUGCUUAGCAUCACUAUCUAAAGGUAGCAAAGCUAAGUGGCUGCCCAAUAAUCUUAAGAGAGAUAAAUAUUAUAUCUAGCUAAGGCUGCUAAGAACUGAUAGAUUGCUUAGCCAAACAGUAAUGCCUAGACACCUAAUCAUUCAGCCUUAAAAUUCUGUUGGCAAAAUUUAUUGGAUAAAACUUGCUGCUUAGAGUGAAAUUUGUGAUCUAAAUUUAUUAGAGUGCAUCCUGUGAUGUAAAUUUCUUAUACAGAAAAAACUAAUUAUGUGUAGGUAACAGUAAAGACUGAAGGAGUACCUUCUUUUCGCAUUCAACUACUUAGUUGACCCCUUGUAGACGAUAAAUCAUUGUCAUCAAGGGUUUCUUUAGCUUCAUUACUCAACUCUAUUUUCGUCCAAUCAGAGGGGAGUGCCAUCUUACAAAAUCCUCUAAUAUACAACCUGAAUUUGCCGCCUAACACAUGAUAAGAGAAAUUUAAAAGGUUAAAUGUUACAGUAUUUACAUCACAAUAGUGUGCAUACAAGACCUGUAAAGGAUAUCACCAUAAACUUUACCUUGAACGCAUGCAUGUCAGAGAGUAGUUGAGAGCACCCAACAGCCAUAAACUUUUCCUACCGCUGUUUGCUACUAACUGCUGAUGCCCUUGAGCAGCAGCCCCCUCCUCCUUGACCACAUUCUUGAUUCAUUUGUUUGAAGUUUUGGAUGUUAUACAAAUGGUACAUUCAUCUAUUACCAAAGUACAAUAGCUGGGCAAUCCUAGAAAUUUAGAGGUACUAAUUGAGAGUCUAAAGAAAACCUCAGCCAAUGCCAAGCAUAAACACUGCUGCUGCCAUGACAGCAGCUCCGCCUCUUCUACCAAUUUCUAAAUUACAAUAAGAGUACCAUAAUACACUAAAUUUUUUUGGAGAAAAUAUAGAUAAUAUACUCACCAAUUUAAAUAAAAUACUAACCAAGUCAUUUAAACUACUUAGCUUGUCGACUGAGAGCUCAAAAAGAGCCCCUUGCCCAGCCCAUUUCGUUGCUACUGCAGCAGCCAUGUGCCUAACAUGGCCACUUAUCUAAUUUCUUGCUUCUAAUUUAUAUGAUCGUUUAAUUCCAUUUUUAGAUAUAUUGUACAUAGCAUAUGGGAGUAUUUUUAGAAAUUAUAAAACCUCCAUUUCAGGCUUGUUAGGCUGCCCAACAUUACGCUCAAAAUUGACUUGACAUACUAGCUUUCAAUUAUUUUUUCCUGUCUGACCUUGUUGCGCUAAAACAGUCAUAACUUCUUCGUUUCAAAACAUUUUUGAGCUAUUCUUGAGCCCACGUGAAGUUAAGUUCCAGGACUACAACUUUUAUUCUUUGACCAUUUUCAAAUUCGUAACAUAAAAUUCCAGAAAAUUCAUCCAAGGGGCUGGUCAGAAUCUGAUUUCCAGAUUUUGGACAGAUUCGACGCGCUUACUUUGGAAUGCCAUAACACCCUCCUCCGAGGUCGGAAUAAGUCCAUUAUGGAGGCUAUGGAUUCCUUAUUCAGUGUACUAUACUUGCCCAAAAACCCAGAAUUUUUCUAGAAAUAUAACUAGUCCUGAAAUUGGCCUCAAGGUCAGUAGCCAAACUAGUUUUCAUCUUUUUCGUUUUGGCUUGAAAUUUACUUUCAAGCCAAUCUAAUAUGCUUAAACUCUCUAAUUAUCAUCACAACUAAUUUAUAAAUCAACCCCAAGCCUUGGUUCUAUCUAAUAUUUGGUCUUUAACCAAAACAGUCCAUAGAGGACUUUUGACAAACACCAUGUAUGCACUGUUUUAAAUCACCAUUCUCAUAACUCUUUAUAUGUGUUAUCAAUCCAUUUUAGCCUUCUUAUAUCACCACACAACCAACCUAUCUCCUUUAUUCUAUUUCAAUUCAUAGCAGUUCAAUUAUAGCUCAAUCACAAUUAUAUAAUCUUAAUAACCAAUUAAUUCUUAUAAUUUUCAUAAAACUCAUAAAUUACCUCUUACUGGGUAUUCAACUUUAAUUCCCUGCUGCAACAGCCUUGUUGUCCUUCUUUAAUGCCAUCAGUGAGUUGAAACAAUGAGUUUUACAAUUUAAAGGAAUAUAAAUGUGACUAUUUUGGAGGUGGAUCGAGGGAGAGAAAGGAGUGAGGGAUAGUCGGAAGUAGUUAGGGCUUCCGGGGAUCGGAAGCAGUGAAGAAGGGGAUGAUAAGGUGGGGGCACAGAAAAUAG